CAGCGCCGCGGUAAUACGAAGGGUGCAAGCGUUAAUCGGAAUUACUGGGCGUAAAGCGUGCGUAGGCGGUGAGUUAAGUCUGCUGUGAAAUCCCCGGGCUCAACCUGGGAACUGCAUUUGAGACUGUAUGGCUAGAGUGUGUCAGAGGGGGGUAGAAUUCCACGUGUAGCAGUGAAAUGCGUAGAUAUGUGGAGGAAUACCGAUGGCGAAGGCAGCCCCCUGGGAUAACACUGACGCUCAUGCACGAAAGCGUGGGGAGCAAACAGGAUUAGAUACCCGCGUAGUCCCUGUCUCUUAUACC
RNAcentral lists this ribosomal RNA (301 nucleotides) under uncultured bacterium. RNAcentral's name for it is "partial 16S ribosomal RNA". It matches the Rfam family "Bacterial small subunit ribosomal RNA", at positions 509 to 808 of the family's 1533-position model. The record is from RNAcentral.